RNAcentral lists this ribosomal RNA (502 nucleotides) under uncultured bacterium. RNAcentral's name for it is "partial 16S ribosomal RNA". It matches the Rfam family "Bacterial small subunit ribosomal RNA", at positions 899 to 1397 of the family's 1533-position model. The record is from RNAcentral.
ACUCAAAGGAAUAGACGGGGGCCCGCACAAGCGGUGGAGUAUGUGGUUUAAUUCGAAGCAACGCGAAGAACCUUACCAGCUCUUGACAUGGGGAUUAUGAGGAUCAGAAAUGAUCUUCUUCGGUUCGGCCGGGUCCCACACAGGUGCUGCAUGGCUGUCGUCAGCUCGUGUCGUGAGAUGUUGGGUUAAGUCCCGCAACGAGCGCAACCCUCAUUGCUAGUUGCCAACAGGUUUGGCUGGGCACUCUAGCGAAACUGCCGGUGAUAAGCCGGAGGAAGGUGAGGAUGACGUCAAGUCCUCAUGGCCCUUAUGGGCUGGGCUACACACGUACUACAAUGGUGGUGACAACAGGCAGCGACGGGGCAACCCUGAGCUAAUCCCAAAAAACCAUCUCAGUUCGGAUUGUCCUCUGCAACUCGAGGGCAUGAAGUUGGAAUCGCUAGUAAUCGUGGAUCAGCAUGCCACGGUGAAUACGUUCCCGGGCCUUGUACACACCGCCCGU